RNAcentral lists this long non-coding RNA (1246 nucleotides) under Malus domestica (apple). RNAcentral's name for it is "long non-coding RNA (MDOM_LNC008724)". Lineage: Eukaryota; Viridiplantae; Streptophyta; Magnoliopsida; Rosales; Rosaceae. The record is from RNAcentral.
UUGGAAGCCCAUGAGCUGAACGAUCCAUGGCCCUUUCGCCACACGGCCUCUCGGGCCGAGAGUGAUCCUACCCUCGGCCCAAACUAUUAUUUUGGGCCCAAACAGAGACUUACAAAUGUAUAUUUUCAAAUAGUUAUUUAUAAUUUUUCUCACGUAUCUUUGUAUUAUUCAUGAAUUGCACUUCUAACUUCCAAUAUACAGCAUUUUACAGCACAUUUCUCACUAAUUUGGCCUCAAUCUCUUCAAUAAUCUCACCAAAACAUAGCUCAAAAUAAAACAAAAACUAUCCAUCUUAAUUAUUACACGUAUAUGCAUAAGCAUAACCAAAAGAAGCUUUUCUCUGUCGAAUUUUGGAAUGAGAUCUGAUCUAAAGGAAAGGAAAGGAAAGAACUUGGGAAUGAAACGUGGCGUUCAUUCGAGCAUGCAUUGUGGUUGCUUUCAGAUCUCUUCUUCUCCUCCUCCUCCUCCUCCUCAAAACCACCAUUAAUGAUUUAGGGUCCAAUAAAAAGGCCAGUCUUUUUCUUUGACUGCGUACCUCGCAAAUAAUAGAGAGUUUAGCAAUCGUAAAGCAUUAGGCAUGCAUUGUAUGCGCAUUGUCAUGGAGUGGGCUGACGAUAUUCCUACGUACAGUUGUAAGCAAAAACCACGCAUUAUUAUUUGGCAUACAAAGAAGUCACAUAUAUGCCCAAAUGUAUAAACUUAACUAUAUAUGAAACUAUUCAUUAACUAUUCAUUAGACAAAAUGAGAGAAAAUCUUUGCCAGAAAUCUAUUUUUAUUAUUAAAAAAGAAAGCGGGACGGAAAUGAUGAAUUUCUCUGUUUAUUUUAUUUGUACUGAUUUUAGUCGAGAAAAUGAGGAGAGAAAAGCGUAGCGAAAGGCCCCCGAGAUAAGGUCACAUUACUUAUCUGCACUGAAAGUUAAAAGCAUGCAAAGUAAAAAUCCAACAGCCUUUGAAACUCAUGCAAGUCAAUACGAAAGAAGAGAAAGUAUUCUGCAACUACUGAUGGUUGAAUAAUAAUCAAAUUAAGGUGGUGUUAUCGUCUACUGAUUUGAGUUAGAACACGUUUUUGUUUUGAUUUAUCAGCAGACAAGAUUAUUGUGGAGCCAAAAAUAUUCACUAGGCGACACGUGGACUUUUGGACAAAAGAGGACAAAAAUACCCUCAAGGCAUACCGGUUUUCCUACACGCGAGCAGUAGAGAAUCAUUUUUUCAACCAAGUCAAAAGUGCCCAAAAUAGGUAUCAAC